This 228-nucleotide ribosomal RNA is filed under the name uncultured bacterium. RNAcentral describes it as "partial 16S ribosomal RNA". It matches the Rfam family "Bacterial small subunit ribosomal RNA", at positions 568 to 796 of the family's 1533-position model. The record is from RNAcentral.
UGCGUAGGUGGUUUUUAAGUCAGUGGUGAAAGCCUACAGCUCAACUGUAGAGGUGCCAUUGAAACUGAAAAACUUGAGUAUGGACGAGGUAGGCGGAAUUUGUGGUGUAGCGGUGAAAUGCAUAGAUACCACAAAGAACACCAAUAGCGAAGGCAGCUUACUGGACCAUAACUGACACUGAGGCACGAAAGCGUGGGUAGCGAACAGGAUUAGAUACCCUGGUAGUCC